UGACCUCAAAUCAGGUAGGACUACCCGCUGAACUUAAGCAUAUCAAUAAGCGGAGGAAAAGAAACUAACAAGGAUUCCCCUAUACUGCGAGUGAAGCGGGAAAAGCUCAAAUUUAAAAUCUGGCGGUCUUUGGCCGUCCGAGUUGUAGUCUGGAGAAGUGCUUUCCGCGCUGGACCGUGUAUAAGUCUCUUGGAACAGAGCGUCAUAGAGGGCGAGAAUCCCGUCUUUGACACGGACUACCAGUGCUUUGUGAUGCGCUCUCAAAGAGUCGCGUUGUUUGGGAAUGCAGCGCAAAAUGGGUGGUGAAUUCCAUCUAAAGCUAAAUAUUGGCGAGAGACCGAUAGCGAACAAGUACCGUGAGGGAAAGAUGAAAAGCACUUUGGAAAGAGAGUUAAACAGUACGUGAAAUUGCUGAAAGGGAAACGCUUGAAGUCAGUCGCGUUGUCCGGGACUCAGCCUUGCUUCGGCUUGGUGCACUUCCCGGAUGACGGGCCAGCAUCGAUUUUGACCGCUGGAAAAGGGCUGGAGGAAUGUGGCACCUUCGGGUGUGUUAUAGCCUCCAGUCGCAUACACUGAGACUGCCAAGGCACACAGGGGAUAGGNNGG
RNAcentral lists this non-coding RNA (606 nucleotides) under Trametes cinnabarina. Its description in RNAcentral is "Pycnoporus cinnabarinus Eukaryotic large subunit ribosomal RNA". It matches the Rfam family "Eukaryotic large subunit ribosomal RNA", at positions 1 to 609 of the family's 3401-position model. Lineage: Eukaryota; Fungi; Basidiomycota; Agaricomycetes; Polyporales; Polyporaceae. The record is from Rfam by way of RNAcentral.